RNAcentral lists this ribosomal RNA (425 nucleotides) under uncultured bacterium. Its description in RNAcentral is "bacterial SSU rRNA". It matches the Rfam family "Bacterial small subunit ribosomal RNA", at positions 8 to 418 of the family's 1533-position model. The record is from RNAcentral.
AGAGUUUGAUCCUGGCUCAGAUUGAACGCUGGCGGCGUGCCUAACACAUGCAAGUCGAACGGAGAUAAGGGGCUUGCUCCUUAUUUUAGUGGCGCACGGGUGAGUAACGCGUGGAUAAUCUACCUUGGAAUCUGGGAUAACAUUUCGAAAGGGGUGCUAAUACCGGAUAAGACCACGAGCUCUUUGGAGUUUGCGGUAAAAGGGGGCCUCUGUAUAUGCUUCUGUUUCAAGAUGAGUCCGCGUACCAUUAGCUAGUUGGCAGGGUAAUGGCCUACCAAGGCGACGAUGGUUAGCUGGUCUGAGAGGAUGAUCAGCCACACUGGAACUGAGACACGGUCCAGACUCCUACGGGAGGCAGCAGUGGGGAAUUUUGCGCAAUGGGGGAAACCCUGACGCAGCAACGCCGCGUGAGUGAUGAAGGCCUU